UUUCCGCAGGUGAACCUGCGGAGGGAUCAUUACUGAGUGAGGGCCCCUCGGGGUCCAACCUCCCACCCGUGUUUAACGAACCUUGUUGCUUCGGCGGGCCCGCCUCACGGCCGCCGGGGGGCAUUUGCCCCCGGGCCCGCGCCCGCCGAAGCCACCUGUGAACGCUGUCUGAAGUAUGCAGUCUGAGACAAUUAUUAAAUUAAUUAAAACUUUCAACAACGGAUCUCUUGGUUCCG
Molecule: unclassified non-coding RNA, 236 nt
Filed under: plant metagenome
Description: partial contains small subunit ribosomal RNA, internal transcribed spacer 1, and 5.8S ribosomal RNA
Source: RNAcentral